CCCGGUUGGCAAGGCAGGAAGACGGGUGCGGCCCCGGGAUUCCCUUCUCCCAGGCCUUCCCGGGAAGAAGUCCGUGGAAGCGGCAGCCCCGGUGGGCCAGGGUCCCGGAGUCUCGCAGGGAAGCAAGGUGUGCUGACCAAAACUAAACGCAGUACUCUCGGUGUGGCCUUACUGAGGCUUUCAUCAAAACAAUGUAAACAGGCUCGACCAAUCUUUGCAAGGUGCCUGACAAUGCCGUCCAGCGCUUCCUUUUCCGCCUCCAAGCCUACGAGGGUCUCGUGCAUCCUGGCAAUUUCCAGAUCCUUUCUGGACAGCAGAGCCUGCAAAGAGUUGGUGGGAUUCAAAUAAUUUCACAACCGUACGGACUGUACAGUAAUAGAAUAGAAUGGAAUGGAAUGGAAUGGAAUGGAAUGGAAUAGAAUAGAAUAGAAUAGAAUAGAAUAGAAUAGAAUAGAAUAGAAUAGAAUAGAAUAGAAUUUUUUAUUGGCCAAGUGUGAUUGGACACACAAGGAAUUUGUCUUGGUGCAUACGCUCUCAGUGUACAUAAAAGAAAAGAUACGUUCAUCAAGGUACAACAUUUACAACACAAAUGAUGGUCAAUAUAAUGAUCAAUAUAAAUCAUAAGGAUUGCCAGCAACAAAGUUACAGUCAUACAGUCAUGAGCGGAAAGAGAUUGGUGAUGGGAACGAUGAGAAGAUUAAUAGUAGUGCAGAUUUACUAAAUCGUUUGACAGUGUUGAGGGAAUUAUUUGCUUAGCAGAGUGAUGGCCUUCGGGGAAAAAACUGUUCUUGUGUCUUGUUGUUCUGGGUGUGCAGUGCUCUAUAGCGUCGUUUUGAGGUUAGGAGUUGAAACAGUUUAAUAGAGACUAAACUGAUUUUAAAUUUAAUAUCAGCAGCGAGAUUAUUGGUUGCGCAAUAUUGGAAGAAAGAAGACUUGCCUACAAUUGAAGAAUGGACGCUUAAAGUAUCGAACUUAGCAGAAAUGGCAAAAAUUUCAGCAUAUUUGAAAGGCUAUUCACAAGAAAGAUACAUAUUGGAAUGGAGAAGUUGGAUUGAUUAUAUUCAAAACAAAUAUCAGACUAAAAAGUAUCAAAUAGCUUAUGAGUGAUUGUAGGAAUUGUACCGUAUUAGUGUAUUUGUUUAAAAGGGAAAGGGGAGUUAAGGUUGCAAAGGGGAGAGGAGAAGUUAUGGGUGAUGGUUUAUUGUUGUAUUUUAGCUUAUGAUUCUUGGAUGUAAUACUCUGUAUUUUGC
Molecule: long non-coding RNA, 1250 nt
Organism: Ahaetulla prasina
Lineage: Eukaryota; Metazoa; Chordata; Lepidosauria; Squamata; Colubridae
Exons: 3
Source: RefSeq, a predicted model, not a curated record